RNAcentral lists this long non-coding RNA (1674 nucleotides) under Actinia tenebrosa (Australian red waratah sea anemone). RNAcentral describes it as "uncharacterized LOC116296773". The record is from RNAcentral. Lineage: Eukaryota; Metazoa; Cnidaria; Anthozoa; Actiniaria; Actiniidae.
UAGACACACGAUUCCCCAAGACAUGUCUAUCCCGGAUUCCCCGUUCCUAUCGCAUUGCACACCUUACAAGGAACUAAAGAUGCGUUCGAGGUUAAAUAUUAAUGUCCACAUGCUUUCUAUAUUGGAGCUGGGUACACAAGAACGGCGAAGGAAUUGAUUUUAUGGUCCCUUAUUUCCGGUAACAAUGUAUAGUCUUUUCUAUCAAACAAGAAGAAGAAGAAGAAAAAAAAAAUAUGAUGGGAAAGCUGCACCGGUACUUUACAUUAUCGUUACUAAAAAAAAUCUAUUGAUUUCAAACUUUUUUUAAAUGAAGAAAUAGAUAAAGAGAGAGAUUCGGAGAGGAAACAACAGAACUAGGUGAAGUGUUUUACAAAAACACAAAGACUUAUAACGGUUUUUCGGCAACGAACAAAACAGUUCACAAAUCCCCAUCAUCGCCCAGUAGGCGAAAUUUGUGAAUUAUUUAUUCCAGGCCAGGGCAUUUUAUUGACGAAAUUAGCUCAGGUUUACUACUGUGCUACGAUAAAUCUCUUUGGUGCAAUCUUGUAAUGAACCUAGAGAAAAAUGAACAAAGAUCGCAGUGGAAAUUCCGCGCGGGAGAUCGAUCAAUCUUUAUGUUCUUUUCUCAAUAAGUAUAGAUUAAAAGUCGUUCCUUACAAGCGAUACACCCUGAGACAGAUAAUCAUUAAGAUACAUAUAAACAUCUUGAAACAAAAGUAAUAUACAGAGUGACAAUAUUUAUGUCGGUUAUUGGCGGGCGAAGAGAUCAAUGAAAGACGACGACACGUGCAAAAGUGUUCUUUUGAAGACCAAGAGAUUAAGUGAGAAAAAGAUUCAAUGAAUCAUAAUACAAUCGUAAUAUAGUAAUGAAUAAUAUCAACACCCUUGUGGAUGAUUGAGAGGAAAAGAAGACAUUAUAAAGAACAGCCAUGUGGGGUUUAAUAAGACGACACCUAUUCCAGGCGACCCUUAAUGAAAGAUAGAUUGGCGGAUUGGAAUAAGAGUGAGUAGCUUACUCGGACCCUUAGCAAAACGUCGGCAAACAAUGAAAAAGAAAGUUGUUGUCCCGCGCGCUGUCAGCACAAAAUAAAUGACUUGAGGACGGCAUACAGGGACACUACUAAGAUCAAAGCCUUUUUAUCUUCAGAAGUAUUUUUUUCUAAGUCAUUGUCAGUUGUCGAUAACUGGUGAUUGUUUUACUCGUGUGCGUGUGUGUGGGUGCCUUGUUGGCAGCGUGGGAUAAAAAACGGACCUCGUCACUGCAUACUUUUGUUCUUCAAGUGUAAUGUGCUUUGUGUGCUUUUGCUUCUAUUGAAAUCGUAUUUGAUUGUUUCUGGAUGUAGCAAGAUUAUUUUGGUAGCAGAUGAUGGCGGAGGCGUACGCGGAAAUCCGAGUUACGGCAUGUAACUGUUCACUUUCCUGGAGCGAGAGAAAAAUUCUAACUAUAAGAAUCUGAUGGACACACUGUUCCUUGUAAUGCUUCCUUUUUAUCUGUACUUAAUCACUCAUUCAGUAUUAUCAUUAUAACCAUAAACUAAAGACUAUGUCAGUGUAACCCAGUUGGCUUAAAUCUGGCAGUACUUUAACAAACUGCUUAACAAUUCCCGAAUAAUCUCAUAAGCUUAUAGAUCUAUCUAUAAACAUUCAGUUGAGUAAACGUAACCAUUCAUUUGA